This 194-nucleotide microRNA precursor is filed under the name Hordeum vulgare. RNAcentral describes it as "miR6193 stem-loop (hvu-MIR6193)". Lineage: Eukaryota; Viridiplantae; Streptophyta; Magnoliopsida; Poales; Poaceae. The record is from miRBase by way of RNAcentral.
UAGGGGUGUUGUUGCUCUGCCACCGGUCCAUGACGACACCUGAGCGACUCCCACUGCAUCAGAGCUUCGGAAGCAGAGUUUUCUGCCAUCCCUCCAAUACAUCUCUGCGGUGUCUUUUGUGAUGCAGCAGAACUUGUGCGCCGAGAGCUUUCCGUUGUCGAAGGCAAUGGAUUGAGGUCAGGUAGCUUUCCCUC